CCUACGGGAGACAGCAGUGGGGAAUAUUGCACAAUGGGGGAAACCCUGAUGCAGCAACGCCGCGUGAGUGAAGAAGUAUUUCGGUAUGUAAAGCUCUAUCAGCAGGGAAGAAGAAAGACGGUACCUGACUAAGAAGCACCGGCGAACUACGUGCCAGCAGCCGCGGUAAUAUGGAGGGGGCAAGCGUUAUCCGGAUUUACUGGGCGGAAAGGGAGCGUAGUCGGCGGGGCAAGUGUGAAGUGAAAGCCCGUGGCUAAACCGCGGAACUGCAUUGGAUACUGGAUAGCUUGAGUACUGGAGGGGCAGGCGGAAUUCCUAGUGUAGCGGUGAAAUGCGUAGAGAUGUGGAGGAACACCGAUGGCGAAGGCAGCCUGCUGGGCAGGUACUGACGUUGAGGUUCGAAAGCGUGGGGAGCAAACAGGAUUAGAUACCCUAGUAGUC
RNAcentral lists this ribosomal RNA (441 nucleotides) under uncultured bacterium. RNAcentral describes it as "partial 16S ribosomal RNA". It matches the Rfam family "Bacterial small subunit ribosomal RNA", at positions 338 to 795 of the family's 1533-position model. The record is from RNAcentral.